AAUAAAUAUAAUAAUUAUGUAUAAACAGCACAAACCUGUACUACCAUUACUUCUCACUGACUAUGUAAUACCCAGAUAGCUUCAGAUUUUAAUUAUCUUUAUUUCCUUCCUGGAAUUCCACACUUUUCGUCCUUAGUAUAACGGACCGAUCCUAGAAUGACAAACAAACUGUAUGACAACGUUUGAUCCCCUUACUAUAUUUAUCUACUCUAUUAAUAAAUAUUUAGAUGUGUUAUCUAGCUGUGUCUUUCUUUGAAACAUUCCAAUAACAUAUUACCGGAUUUCUUCCUUCUUUGAGACAUUUCAAUAAAAUAUUACCGGAUUUCUUCUUUCUUUGAGACAUUUCAAUAAAAUAUUACCGGAUUUCUUCUUUCUUUGAGACAUUUCAAUAAAAUAUGACCCGAUUUCUUCCUUCUUUGAGACAUUUCAAUAAAAUAUUACCGGAUUUCUUCCUUCUUUGAGACAUUUCAAUAAAAUAUUACCGGAUUUCUUCUUUCUUUGAGACAUUUCAAUAAAAUAUUACCGGAUUUCUUCUUUCUUUGAGACAUUUCAAUAAAAUAUUACCGGAUUUCUUCCUUCUUUGAGACAUUUCAAUAAAAUAUUACCGGAUUUCUUCAUUCUUUGAGACAUUUCAAUAAAAUAUUACCGGAUUUCUUCUUUAUUUGAGACAUUUCAAUGAAAUAUUACCGGAUUUCUUCUUUCUUUGCAGUUUUCGGAAUUCUCCUUUUGUACUUCCUGUUCAACGGAACUGGACAGGUUGCCGGAUAAACGGAAAUGACGUCAUAUCGUUACACAAACAUACAGGGGUCGGUCCAGCAGCCAAAGAUAUCUUGCUCACUAGAACAUGUAAUAUAUUUUGUUGAUGUAAAUAAAAUGAUGACUUUUAUUA
This is a long non-coding RNA of Pecten maximus, 889 nucleotides long. RefSeq lists it as uncharacterized. The transcript has 2 exons. NCBI's taxonomy places the organism in Eukaryota, Metazoa, Mollusca, Bivalvia, Pectinida, Pectinidae. The record is from RefSeq and is a predicted model, not a curated record.